Molecule: ribosomal RNA, 497 nt
Filed under: uncultured bacterium
Lineage: Bacteria
Description: partial 16S ribosomal RNA
Rfam family: Bacterial small subunit ribosomal RNA
Source: RNAcentral
GAUGAACGCUGGCGGCGUGCCUAAUACAUGCAAGUCGAGCGAACAGACGAGGAGCUUGCUCCUCUGACGUUAGCGGCGGACGGGUGAGUAACACGUGGAUAACCUACCUAUAAGACUGGGAUAACUUCGGGAAACCGGAGCUAAUACCGGAUAAUAUAUUGAACCGCAUGGUUCAAUAGUGAAAGACGGUUUUGCUGUCACUUAUAGAUGGAUCCGCGCCGCAUUAGCUAGUUGGUAAGGUAACGGCUUACCAAGGCGACGAUGCGUAGCCGACCUGAGAGGGUGGUCGGCCACACUGGAACUGAGACGCGGUCCAGACUCCUACGGGAGGCAGCAGUAGGGAAUCUUCCGCAAUGGGCGAAAGCCUGACGGAGCAACGCCGCGUGAGUGAUGAAGGUCUUCGGAUCGUAAAACUCUGUUAUUAGGGAAGAACAAAUGUGUAAGUAACUAUGCACGUAUUGACGGUACCUAAUCAGAAAGCCACGGCUAACUACGUG